GUGAGGAAUAUUGGGCAAUGGGCGAAAGCCUGACCCAGCCACGCCGCGUGAGUGAUGAAGGCCUUCGGGUUGUAAAGCUCUGUGGGGAGGGAAGAAAAAGCGGGAGAGUAACUGCUCUCGUGUUGACGGUACCUCCUUAGCAAGCACCGGCUAACUCUGUGCCAGCAGCCGCGGUAAUACAGAGGGUGCAAACGUUGCUCGGAAUUACUGGGCGUAAAGCGCGUGUAGGCUGACAUGCAAGUCGGGUGUGAAAUCCCAGGGCUCAACCUUGGAACUGCACUCGAAACUGCACGUCUUGAGUACUGGAGAGGGAAGCGGAAUUCCGGGUGUAGAGGUGAAAUUCGUAGAUAUCCGGAGGAACACCAGUGGCGAAGGCGGCUUCCUGGACUGAUACUGACACUGAGGUGCGAAAGCGUGGGGAGCAAACAGGAUUAGAAACCCCAGUAGUCC
RNAcentral lists this ribosomal RNA (450 nucleotides) under uncultured bacterium. RNAcentral's name for it is "bacterial SSU rRNA". It matches the Rfam family "Bacterial small subunit ribosomal RNA", at positions 354 to 796 of the family's 1533-position model. The record is from RNAcentral.